This is a long non-coding RNA of Arachis duranensis, 456 nucleotides long. RefSeq lists it as uncharacterized. The record is from RefSeq and is a predicted model, not a curated record. Lineage: Eukaryota; Viridiplantae; Streptophyta; Magnoliopsida; Fabales; Fabaceae. The transcript is spliced from 3 exons.
AGCAAAUUGUGCCUCGGAUGGAGUUUUAGUUGGACACCAGCUAUUGUUCUUGAGAUGUUUUGUAGGUCUGUCAAUGUUAGAAAGUGAAGUUUCCAUGGAAGUUUUGGAGUUGAAACUGGGAUGAGAGAAUGAAUGUUGCUGUAAAGUCUCUCCAAAAGCAGCAGCAAUCGGAAGUAAAGUAGGCUCAUAAAUAGAGCUCAAAUGCCACUGAUGAAGAUAGCACAGGAGCUUUAUAUCUUACCAGAUCAGUUAACCCUCUGAGUGAAGAAAUAUCCAUAAGAAAACAACUCCUGCAAUCAAAAGAUCUCUCAAGAAACUAUCCUGGAAGAGAAGAUUCAGCUAGAGUUGUUGAGACUUUUUGAGAUGUUAUUCACCAACUAGCGAUUGAAAUUUUGAAUUAAGUGUUCGCAAAUCAAAUGAUCAUGUUUGAGAAUGUGGUCCCUCACGCACCAUGUC